GUUUGAUCAUGGCUCAGGAUGAACGCUGGCGGCGUGCUUAACACAUGCAAGUCGAACGGAAAGGCCCAAGCUUGCUUGGGUACUCGAGUGGCGAACGGGUGAGUAACACGUGGGUGAUCUGCCCUGCACUUCGGGAUAAGCCUGGGAAACUGGGUCUAAUACCGGAUAGGACGAUGGUUUGGAUGCCAUUGUGGAAAGUUUUUUCGGUGUGGGAUGAGCUCGCGGCCUAUCAGCUUGUUGGUGGGGUAAUGGCCUACCAAGGCGUCGACGGGUAGCCGGCCUGAGAGGGUGUACGGCCACAUUGGGACUGAGAUACGGCCCAGACUCCUACGGGAGGCAGCAGUGGGGAAUAUUGCACAAUGGGCGCAAGCCUGAUGCAGCGACGCCGCGUGGGGGAUGACGGCCUUCGGGUUGUAAACUCCUUUCGCUAGGGACGAAGCGUUUUUGUGACGGUACCUGGAGAAGAAGCACCGGCUAACUACGUGCCAGCAGCCGCGGUAAUACGUAGGGUGCGAGCGUUGUCCGGAAUUACUGGGCGUAAAGAGCUCGUAGGUGGUUUGUCGCGUCGUUUGUGUAAGCCCGCAGCUUAACUGCGGGACUGCAGGCGAUACGGGCAUAACUUGAGUGCUGUAGGGGAGACUGGAAUUCCUGGUGUAGCGGUGGAAUGCGCAGAUAUCAGGAGGAACACCGAUGGCGAAGGCAGGUCUCUGGGCAGUAACUGACGCUGAGGAGCGAAAGCAUGGGUAGCGAACAGGAUUAGAUACCCUGGUAGUCCAUGCCGUAAACGGUGGGCGCUAGGUGUGAGUCCCUUCCACGGGGUUCGUGCCGUAGCUAACGCAUUAAGCGCCCCGCCUGGGGAGUACGGCCGCAAGGCUAAAACUCAAAGGAAUUGACGGGGGCCCGCACAAGCGGCGGAGCAUGUGGAUUAAUUCGAUGCAACGCGAAGAACCUUACCUGGGCUUGACAUACACCAGAUCGCCGUAGAGAUACGGUUUCCCUUUGUGGUUGGUGUACAGGUGGUGCAUGGUUGUCGUCAGCUCGUGUCGUGAGAUGUUGGGUUAAGUCCCGCAACGAGCGCAACCCUUGUCUUAUGUUGCCAGCACGUGAUGGUGGGGACUCGUGAGAGACUGCCGGGGUUAACUCGGAGGAAGGNGGGGAUGACGUCAAAUCAUCAUGCCCCUUAUGUCCAGGGCUUCA
This 1197-nucleotide ribosomal RNA is filed under the name Corynebacterium sp. Its description in RNAcentral is "bacterial SSU rRNA". It matches the Rfam family "Bacterial small subunit ribosomal RNA", at positions 11 to 1218 of the family's 1533-position model. Lineage: Bacteria; Bacillati; Actinomycetota; Actinomycetes; Mycobacteriales; Corynebacteriaceae. The record is from RNAcentral.